GUCCCCUUCGUCUAGUGGCCCAGGACACCCGCCCUUUCACGGCGGUAACAGGGGUUCGAGUCCCUAGGGACGCCA
This 75-nucleotide transfer RNA is filed under the name Pseudomonas morbosilactucae. Its description in RNAcentral is "tRNA-Glu". It matches the Rfam family "tRNA". From Rfam's summary of the family: Transfer RNA (tRNA) molecules are approximately 80 nucleotides in length. Their secondary structure includes four short double-helical elements and three loops (D, anti-codon, and T loops). Further hydrogen bonds mediate the characteristic L-shaped molecular structure. tRNAs have two regions of fundamental functional importance: the anti-codon, which is responsible for specific mRNA codon recognition, and the 3' end, to which the tRNAs corresponding amino acid is attached (by aminoacyl-tRNA synthetases). tRNAs cope with the degeneracy of the genetic code in two manners: having more than one tRNA (with a specific anti-codon) for a particular amino acid; and 'wobble' base-pairing, i.e. permitting non-standard base-pairing at the 3rd anti-codon position. Lineage: Bacteria; Pseudomonadati; Pseudomonadota; Gammaproteobacteria; Pseudomonadales; Pseudomonadaceae. The record is from RNAcentral.